Molecule: ribosomal RNA, 244 nt
Filed under: uncultured bacterium
Lineage: Bacteria
Description: partial 16S ribosomal RNA
Rfam family: Bacterial small subunit ribosomal RNA
Source: RNAcentral
CGUGGGUAACCUGCCCAAGAGACUGGGAUAACACCUGGAAACGGAUGCUAAUACCGGAUAACAACACUAGACGCAUGUCUAGAGUUUAAAAGAUGGUUCUGCUAUCACUCUUGGAUGGACCUGCGGUGCAUUAGCUAGUUGGUAAGGUAACGGCUUACCAAGGCAAUGAUGCAUAGCCGAGUUGAGAGACUGAUCGGCCACAUUGGGACUGAGACACGGCCCAAACUCCUACGGAAGGCAGCAG